UACGUAGGUGGCAAGCGUUGUCCGGAUUUAUUGGGCCUAAAGCAUCCGUAGCCGGCCUUACAAGUCCUCCGUUAAAUCCAGCUGCUUAACAGAUGGGCUGCGGAGGAUACUAUAAGACUAGGAGGCAGGAGAGGCAAGCGGUACUCAGUGGGUAGGGGUAAAAUCCGUUGAUCCAUUGAAGACCACCAGUGGCGAAGGCGGCUUGCCAGAAUGCGCUCGACGGUGAGGGAUGAAAGCUGGGGGAGCAAACCGG
Molecule: ribosomal RNA, 253 nt
Filed under: uncultured bacterium
Lineage: Bacteria
Description: partial 16S ribosomal RNA
Rfam family: Bacterial small subunit ribosomal RNA
Source: RNAcentral